CGUGUAGGCGGGGAUUUAAGUAGGGUGUGAAAACUCCGGGCUCAACUUGGAGACUGCAUCCUAAACUGGAUCUCUUGAGGGCAGGAGAGGAAAGUGGAAUUCCUAGUGUAGCGGUGAAAUGCGUAGAUAUUAGGAGGAACACCAGCGGCGAAGGCGGCUUUCUGGACUGAAACUGACACUGAGGCACGAAAGCGUGGGGAGCAAACA
RNAcentral lists this ribosomal RNA (207 nucleotides) under uncultured bacterium. RNAcentral's name for it is "partial 16S ribosomal RNA". It matches the Rfam family "Bacterial small subunit ribosomal RNA", at positions 568 to 774 of the family's 1533-position model. The record is from RNAcentral.